RNAcentral lists this ribosomal RNA (460 nucleotides) under uncultured bacterium. RNAcentral describes it as "partial 16S ribosomal RNA". It matches the Rfam family "Bacterial small subunit ribosomal RNA", at positions 338 to 795 of the family's 1533-position model. The record is from RNAcentral.
CCUACGGGAGGCAGCAGUGAGGAAUAUUGGUCAAUGGACGAGAGCCUGAACCAGCCAAGUAGCGUGAAGGAUGACUGCCCUAUGGGUUGUAAACUUCUUUUAUAUGGGAAUAAAAUGGUCCACGUGUGGGAUUUUGUAUGUACCAUAUGAAUAAGGAUCGGCUAACUCCGUGCCAGCAGCCGCGGUAAUACGGAGGAUCCGAGCGUUAUCCGGAUUUAUUGGGUUUAAAGGGAGCGUAGGUGGGUUGUUAAGUCAGUUGUGAAAGUUUGCGGCUCAACCGUAAAAUUGCAGUUGAAACUGGCAGUCUUGAGUACAGUAGAGGUAGGCGGAAUGCGUGGUGUAGCGGUGAAAUGCUUAGAUAUCACGAAGAACUCCGAUUGCGAAGGCAGCUCACUGGACUGUAACUGACACUGAGGCUCGAAAGUGUGGGUAUCAAACAGGAUUAGAUACCCGAGUAGUC